AAAAAAAAAAAAAAAAUGCAGUUGCUAAAAGACAAAAAACUCAAUGGAAAGGUUAAAGGUUAAAUAAUAGACUAGACAUAAUUGGAGAAGUAAAUGUAUGACAGAUCCAAGGAAAUCACCAAUGAGAUUUAAAAAAUAAAAAAAUAUGAAAAAAUUGGUUAAGAAACAUAGAGAUAUAAGGAAGAUCCAACCCACAUCUAAUAGAAUCUCCAAGGGAAUGGAAAAUGAGAGGGAGACAAUAUUUAAAGAGAUAACAGCUGGUAAUUUUCUAGAGUUGAAGAGAGAUAUAAAUCCUCUAAUGAACAACAACAGAGCUAUAUCCAGUCUUCUCAUGACAAAACUGAAGAACAUUAAAGACAGAGAAAAUCUUUAGAACUCAUCAUGGUUAUCUGGCUUGUGGACCGUUAAACCUGGUGUUUUCCCUGUCUCCUGCACGGUACGGUACACACCAAAGAAGAAAAUCACGUUAUUUAAACAUGAUGAAGUUUUGCCUUUUGUUUUGUACUCUUCUACCCAAGGGAACUUACAAAUCAAUAAACCUUAAAGGGACAGAAUAAUGGCUGUAUGUUACCUAACACGCAAUAAUUAGUAAUAACUAUAUUAUCCUUCAAAUGAAUAAGACGUGGGUGAUCAAUAUGGCUUACAUUAUUUUCCUAACAGUGGUACCAGAUUUGGACUAAGUUAUGGAGAUACCCAGACAUUGUUAUCAAAUCCUCUUAACACUGAACACAUUUUCAGGAUGACAGUCAAAGAGGAAGAGGAUAGCAUGUGGCAAGGAAGAGCUACCUGCCUAGGCAAAAAUAAACUUAGCACCACAGCUUCAUCAUGGAAUUAGCCUGCUAUAGAAGAAGGACUUGAUUUAACUCACACAGAAUCUGAAAGAACUCCCUUAACUGGAUUUUCACCUAUCUUUUAUGUUUGUCAUUAAUUGAAGCAAAUUAUAGGAUAGCUAAGGUUAUGAAUUAACGGUUUUAGGGAAGAAAUAGAAGGGAAGGCAUAUGGCCUUUGAAUCCUGAGAAAUCUAUAUCACCCCUUAUUAUUUUUUUAUUGCUUCUUAACUAACAGUUACAAUUACCACCAUGUGUAAAAUAAGAUCAGUUUCAGGAUGACUUCAAGGCCCAAGUUUAUAACAUUGGCAGGCUACAGGAGGUGGGAUGAGUCCUGCCAAAGCUAACAGCUAAUUUGGGGAAGUCUACUCGGACAACUUUGGUAAAAUCAGCUAAACUCUCCUUAGUCUUUGUUUGCAGAAGUAGCAGCAGCUAGCUAACACCUUCUGAUUGCUCACCAUGUGCCCUUGACUGAGUUAAAUGUGUUAUAUGCAGACAACUGCGGUUGAAACAAGCUGCUACUCAUUAGCAGGAUGACUUAACCAUAAAAAUCUUCAAUUUUCUCUGGAAAAUGGGGAUAAUAAGCUCAUAUAAUCUCCUAGGGUUGCUGGGAGAAUUAAAUCAGAAGCUAUGAUAAUAAGGCAAACAGAUGCUUCUGGAGUGUAGCAGAUUGUAUUUCUGAAAAUGGCCACAAGAAUGUGCUCUCCUAGAACCUUGCCCAUGCCCCCAUCAAGAGGUGGAUGGUUCUUUGUGACAGCCACACUGAAUAGGAUGUGGUGGAGGUGGUACUGUGUGACUGGCUAAUAAAAGGUAAUAUGGCCUCUGUCUCUCUCUCGUUCUGUACUAUAAGAGUUCUGAACCAUCCUGUGACAAGUCUAGUUACCCUAAAGCUGUCAUGCAGGAGAGACCAUGUGGAGAGAAGGAGAGUUAGAGAGAGGAGGAGCCCCUGCUGUUUGAGUAUUCUCAGCCCAGACACCAGACAUGAGUGAGGAAGCAUUCAGACCCCAACUCCAGUUUAAAAACGCCACCACUCAACAGCCUGUUUUCUGAGCCUAUGACCACAUAUAUGCUGCAGAACCCUUUCAGGGUGUAUCUGAAACUACUUCUCUUAAAGGCAAGCUGUAACUGGUGCCAGUGAGUACUACUAUCUUUUAUUUAAAUUAAAAACAAAUUUAACAUCACUUAGUCUUUAUAAGAAUGAGAAAGUCCAGAUAAGUAUAAAGAAGAAAAUUUAAAAAUCUAAAUGGUCGGGGUGUUUGGGGGAGCAGAAGAGGAAGAUAGAAGAUUGUAUCUCUCUAUCUUCUUGUCUUGGCUUCUGAACCCGAGAUGUUUUUUAUUAUUGCAGGAAAAGACAGAAGCUGAUUGAGGUCCCAGCUUGGUAACAGUUUGAAGAGUUGCAGGACUGGCUGGAUGAGUACUGGCUGCAGCAAAUCAGGCUGCCAGGAUUCUUUAUGGCUGUUUCUGCUUCCACUACAGCUGAGUCAGAAAGGUCGCUGCCCCGUGGUGGCACUAGACGCAGUGGACCUGGCAAGCAAAUGUUUCCGCUAUUAGCUCUCAGCAACAGAGACUCAUUUAUGGUCACCUUGGAAAUCUGGGCUUAUCGAUCUACAGCCCAAGUCUGCUGAGAAGCUGGAGCUUACUAAAGGGGAAACCUGAGAGCUGUUCAAGCCCCAAAUAUUUUCCACUUCUGCGUCACCUCUGCUGUCUGUUAGCAGAGUGGAGGAGAAAAUACACAGCACAAACAACGUGAAAAAAUAGUUACUCUAUUCAUUAAAAGCUGUAACUUCCAGAUUGGACUUGAGAAGCAAUUAAGCAACAGAGGAACCUCAUCUACUAUCUGUAUUCAGGCAUGCUCAUGAGAACACGCUGCUCCAGCUGGACUUAGAGGAACCCGGUGCAUCACAGGCAUUCCUGACAGAGUCUCGUGGUCCUGCUGGUCCACUCAGUGGUACUCAGUCCUCCUCAUUCUCGGGGAUAGGUUCCAAGACCCCCAGGGGAUGCCUGAAACUGCGGAUGGUACCGAACCCUACAUAUAUUAUGUUUUUUUCCUAUACAUACAUACCUAUGAUAAAGCUUAAUUUACAAAUUAGAUAGAGUAAGAGAUUAACAACAAUUACAGCAAUAUACUGAAAUAAAAGUUAUGUGAAUGUGGUCUCUCUCUCUCUCUCUGAAUAUCAUAUUGUAAGUAAUACUUUCAAACCAUGGGUAACUAAAGCAGCUGAAAGUGAUACCUUGGAUCAGGCAGGGCCACUGUCCUGGCUCCCUCUUCCCCACUAGCGCCUUUCUUCCACGUAUAUAGUCAAGACAAGAUUUAAGUGGUGUUUUUCCAUAACGCCUCCCACAAAUGCUCCAGCCUGAAACUGAUUUCUCUUUUCUGAUCUUUAUAGUCCUGUAGUUAGUCAUUCUUAAAGUUCUGUGCAUAUGCUGCAUUCUAUUAUUCAGCCAUGCAGGGCUAUGUCCUGUCAUUAAGAACAGAGGAACAAGCCAGAUCUCUGUAGUCCCAUAACUAAUAUCAUGCCUGGAAUAUAGUGAGUGCUCUUCAAACAUUUCAUAGGUCCUUUUAGAGGUCCUGGGGCAUAGUCAACUUUGGAAGCAUUCAACCAUAAUGAAUUUUAAAUAAAAAUAUAUGAAAAAAAAUUUUUUUAAGCCCCCAAUCUCUGAGCCCAGGAAUUCAAGACCA
RNAcentral lists this long non-coding RNA (3507 nucleotides) under Homo sapiens (human). Its description in RNAcentral is "HSALNT0350814". Lineage: Eukaryota; Metazoa; Chordata; Mammalia; Primates; Hominidae. The record is from RNAcentral.